CCUCCUUUCCUUGGCAGGGUCUGGGUGUGCGGUCCCGCUCCCCGUUAUGUGCGGAGGCAGAGCGAAAGGGUCCCAGCCCUUCCGGUGGCAUGUCUUCGGUGUCGGCGGAUUCUGGUUCGCCAGUUCUAUCCUCAGACGCCGGGACACUU
Jaculus jaculus (lesser Egyptian jerboa) is the source of this 149-nucleotide small nucleolar RNA. NCBI's taxonomy places the organism in Eukaryota, Metazoa, Chordata, Mammalia, Rodentia, Dipodidae. The record is from Ensembl.